Molecule: non-coding RNA, 99 nt
Organism: Acanthosepion pharaonis
Lineage: Eukaryota; Metazoa; Mollusca; Cephalopoda; Sepiida; Sepiidae
Source: the annotation of a GenBank genome assembly
CAUUGAAACACUGGUUUCUGUACGAUCAUCAUAGUUAAACAACAUUGAGCAUGGCUAGUACUUAGAUGGGUGACUGCUUGGGAAUACCAGGUACUGUAA